This 744-nucleotide ribosomal RNA is filed under the name Bacillus spizizenii ATCC 6633 = JCM 2499. RNAcentral describes it as "bacterial SSU rRNA". It matches the Rfam family "Bacterial small subunit ribosomal RNA", at positions 56 to 782 of the family's 1533-position model. Lineage: Bacteria; Bacillati; Bacillota; Bacilli; Caryophanales; Bacillaceae. The record is from RNAcentral.
UGCAAGUCGAGCGGACAGAUGGGAGCUUGCUCCCUGAUGUUAGCGGCGGACGGGUGAGUAACACGUGGGUAACCUGCCUGUAAGACUGGGAUAACUCCGGGAAACCGGGGCUAAUACCGGAUGGUUGUUUGAACCGCAUGGUUCAAACAUAAAAGGUGGCUUCGGCUACCACUUACAGAUGGACCCGCGGCGCAUUAGCUAGUUGGUGAGGUAACGGCUCACCAAGGCGACGAUGCGUAGCCGACCUGAGAGGGUGAUCGGCCACACUGGGACUGAGACACGGCCCAGACUCCUACGGGAGGCAGCAGUAGGGAAUCUUCCGCAAUGGACGAAAGUCUGACGGAGCAACGCCGCGUGAGUGAUGAAGGUUUUCGGAUCGUAAAGCUCUGUUGUUAGGGAAGAACAAGUGCCGUUCGAAUAGGGCGGUACCUUGACGGUACCUAACCAGAAAGCCACGGCUAACUACGUGCCAGCAGCCGCGGUAAUACGUAGGUGGCAAGCGUUGUCCGGAAUUAUUGGGCGUAAAGGGCUCGCAGGCGGUUUCUUAAGUCUGAUGUGAAAGCCCCCGGCUCAACCGGGGAGGGUCAUUGGAAACUGGGGAACUUGAGUGCAGAAGAGGAGAGUGGAAUUCCACGUGUAGCGGUGAAAUGCGUAGAGAUGUGGAGGAACACCAGUGGCGAAGGCGACUCUCUGGUCUGUAACUGACGCUGAGGAGCGAAAGCGUGGGGAGCGAACAGGAUUAGA